CCUACGGGGGACAGCAGUCGAGAAUCAUUCACAAUGGGGGAAACCCUGAUGGUGCGACGCCGCGUGGGGGAAUGAAGGUCUUCGGAUUGUAAACCCCUGUCAUGUGGGAGCAAAUUAACAAGAUAGUACCACAAGAGGCAGCGACGGCUAACUCUGUGCCCGCAGCCGCGGUAAUACCGAGGUCUCAAGCGUUGUUCGGAAUCACUGGGCGUAAAGCGUGCGUAGGCUGUUUCGUAAGUCGUGUGUGAAAGUCGCGGGCUCAACCCGCGAACGGCACAUGAUACUGCGAGACUAGAGUAAGGGAGGGGGAAGCGGAAUGUUCGGUGUAGCAGUGAAAUGCGUAGAUA
This 347-nucleotide ribosomal RNA is filed under the name uncultured bacterium. RNAcentral describes it as "partial 16S ribosomal RNA". It matches the Rfam family "Bacterial small subunit ribosomal RNA", at positions 338 to 696 of the family's 1533-position model. The record is from RNAcentral.